Macadamia integrifolia is the source of this 2950-nucleotide long non-coding RNA. RefSeq lists it as uncharacterized. The record is from RefSeq and is a predicted model, not a curated record. The transcript is spliced from 2 exons. NCBI's taxonomy places the organism in Eukaryota, Viridiplantae, Streptophyta, Magnoliopsida, Proteales, Proteaceae.
CAUAUUAUGCAAAGAUAGAGUGCCUUUGGGGGAUUUCAACCACUAGCUUCCCGCUCACUAAGAAUGCGUGAACUGAACGACGAGAAAGUGACGGAAAACUGCCAGACGUUUCGUGCUCUAUAAAAGAAAACGGAACCCAAUAACGGGUUUAAGAGGAGUUGGGGAAGCUGUAGCCAACAAAAUCAAAAGCGGUUUUAUGCAAAACCAGAAAUGGUUUUUCUUCUUUUGCUUCAUUUGGUUGCAGCUGGUGAAUUCCAAAGGGAUCGCAUUGAUCCAUCAGAUUCUCUUAGCAGUAGUUGUCAAUGAUGGAUGCAGCAAAGAUUAAUUAGGGUUUUAGUUUCUGAAUCAUUUCUGCUAAGUUUCAUUAGAUCAUGCGAUCCCUUCGGAAUUCUCCAUCUGUGGCUUUACAUCAUUUUCUUCCAAGCUACGCCUACACUUCUGUGAUUUGCUUAUUUCUGUUAAAGCGGUUUCCCUUCUACUAAAGGUGGUUUUGGCUUCCAAGUUGGCUUGUUCUUAACCCUUUAAGGCAAAGAUGAAAAGGGGAAAAGGAAAAAGGGAAGAAUGUUUAUGCGUGUUGGGUAGUGGCCACUGAAUGGAUUUUAUUGUUAUUUUAUGUAGUUUAAACGUCAAAUUUCCUCUCUCUAAAAUCUGAAUUGAGAUACCCAUUUCAAGGUUUUCUGUCACAUCUUCAUAUCCGUUUUUCAUAUAUUAACUUUUUUAUUUCCUAAGAUUAUUAUUAUUAUUUGUAGAAGCAAAGCUGAAGAGAUUCUCUGCCAGAAACUGUUGGUGGUGAAUUGCUGUCACUGGGGAUGUUGAGAUGAUGAUAAGCUCACUGGGUAUGAACUAUGAAUGAUGUACAACAUAAAUUGACUUAUUUUAUAAUAUCAUAUGAAUGCUAUUUCUGUUUCUUAAAGAAUAAUGGAGAACAAAAUCAUAUAGAAGGAAGAUGGAAAGCCUUUAUAUCUUUCUAUGUUCUUGAUAUAUUUGUAGUUAAACACCAUUACCAGACAGUUCUUCUUUGUUGUGGAGACUGAACAAAGAAACCCUUACCUAAUUCUUCACAUCUGAACGUAAUAUGAUACCUGGUAGAGGAUCCAAUGUAGGUGGUAGUUCUGUGUAUUCUUAUUUGGAUUUGUCUUUGCAGAUUCAUCAAGAAGAUAGGGCCUUAAGGGCCAAAGGGGUAUUUGAGUUGGAUUACACAUUAAAUUUUGCAGGACUGAUGGUUUUUUGUUUGAUAUGUACCCCAACUGUUUGUUAUUGUGACACUGUAGCCUUACCCAGCUGGAUAGCUAAGUUUGGGUCCUUCAAAAGGUCAGGUGGUGUGGUUGGUGUCCAGAAAGCAUCUCUCUGACUAUUGUUCCAUGUGGGUGUUGUAAUAUAUUUGCCAGUUCUCAGUUUGAUUUGAUAUAGCCUCCAUUGAUGACACAGGUUUGCAGUCCAUGGCUUGUCCAAUUCAUUUUCACCAUUGCUCAUUUGAAUUGUUAUGAUGUUAGUCCUUUUAGUUCUAAUAUAUAUGUUUAGGUAAGAGAAAAACCCAAAAAAAAUUAAUGAUCUUAAUCAUGGAUGAAUGAGCAUAUUUUGAAAAACCAUCUACCUUCCAUUGUAACUCAAAACAAGAUAAUGUUUCAUGCAUGAUCAACAGAUCCAGUAAUUAGAGUUAAUUUUCUAUCAUGCUAAACUAAUUAUAAAUUUUCUUGAUUGUUCUCAUUAAUCUUGGACUUAAUUGUUAGAUAUCAGGUACUAGGUUUGUUUAUUGACAACUAUGAUUUGUAGAGAAGGUUAAGGAUGCCAAGAUUGGUAAGUACUGCAUACACUGAAAAUACAGAGACACUGUACCAUUACUUGCCAAAUAUGUGGUGCACCUUUACUCAUCCUUGUCUGCAUUCCAUUCAUGGGGUCACUUCCAAUCUUGAACAUCCAAUCAAUGGGGCCUAACUUUCAAUAGUGACAUCUGAACCGACUUGAAAUAUUGAUGAUUGAACCCAAUUACUUCUGCAGCAUCUUCAUCAUCAGAGAACCUUCCCUCGUGCUGAUGAUGAGAUCAUCAAGAACACAACCUUAAUUUCUAAAGAUGAUAUUGGAGCUAGCUAGCUCAGGUACUAUCAUGAUCAUCUAUUUCCUCCAGUGGGUCUUAGGAUGGUGAACCAGUUCAGAGUUGGUUGGACAUUAAUUUCACCAAUAGAACAGCAUGGUUUGUCUUCAUUUUCAGAUCUCAUUUAUUUGCUUUCUUAAUGAGAUUGGUUGUGGAUGAGUGAAUUAUUGAGGAAAUUCAUUUCAUGGUUGAUUGAUCUUUCACUCUCAAUGUCCCCAAAUUCUAAGUCCUGUGAAGAGCAUUCCCUUUCAUUAUCCACUGCAUGUCUACUUGAGUGAAAAUGAAGUUGUUUUGGGACCAUUUCAUUAGUCCAUUCGGGUCAGGCCUAACAAUUGGGAACCAAAGAUGCAUUAUGAAUUAGUAGUAACUUGGGAUUCUUUAUUUUAUCUUCUUUUUGUAGGUUGGGACUUGGCUACUUGGGAGGGGAACUGAGGUCUGAGGAAUGCAUUUGAAGUUGGAAAUGGCCAAUUAAAUGAUUACACCUGUUAUGACACAAUCAUAAUUAGCUUUUUAUGCUCUCUGGAUUUGUGGGUUUUUCCCUUUACUGUUGUGAGAGGAAAAGAAUCAUAUGGGGCUAAGGUUAUGGCAAGCAGUUCGUAUUGCGUGGGGAACCCAAUACACUCCACCAACUAAAAGUUUUAAAAAGCAAAGGAGAAACACUGUGAAGAGAAGGGAAGAUUGAGCAGGAAAGCAGUUCCUAUCAGAUUCUCCCCGAAGGUUGGGGGUUGGGUUUCUUUUCCUCUUUUUUUUCGUUUUCCUUAGUAAUUCUUUUUUGAGCAUACCUGAUUGUAUUUGAUCGAUUCUUUUUUGUUCCAGUUGCUAGCCUGGCAAGUUUUUGAAUAAAAUUUGUUUAAGAGA